AUGCCGGGUCGCAUAAAAAUUGAAUUUAAUGAUUCGCUAAAAUUUAAUGGAACAAUAACGCUCGGCAUUAGUGUAAUACGUCGGAUAUGAAAAAAAUAAAAAUAAAAAUUUGGUAAUAUCUCUACCGGCGCUGCUGUGUCGUCGAAGCUGCACCUCACCGGCGUCCGCGAUUCGAAAUAAUACGUCGUCUUGGUCUCAGACCGCGCCACGCUGCUGUCUCUGUGCCCGCGUUGGCGCGUUAUCUUCGCGGCAGUGUCGAAACAUACUUCGCCGCCGUCGUCGUAAUAAAAUAGGGGUUAUCAAAACGGCGUCGCACGCACGUUGGCCACUUUAGCGCGUGUGUUGCGCGCAAAGCACAGAUGUUUGUUCCCCCUCGUCGAGCAGCCGACGCCGCCGCCGAUGUAAGGUCGUGUAGAAAAUCGAAUAGCUCGGAGUUGGUGUAUGACCGUACGGGCACGAACAGGAUUUUUUUUUUAUUUCGGCGAGGAGGGGUGGCAAAAUUUUACAAAUGCCUCAGUCCUUUAAUUUUUAUUAUUUUUAUUGACGUCAAACGUUAACAUAAAUAUAUACGUUAAAAAUACUAAUAUAAUUUUACCAAAUUACUAAAUUACAUAGUCUUAAGAGAGUAUAUCAGCAAAUUAUUUUCAGAACAUUAUUGCAGCCUAUAUAUAU
This is a long non-coding RNA of Rhopalosiphum maidis (corn leaf aphid), 672 nucleotides long. RefSeq lists it as uncharacterized. The record is from RefSeq and is a predicted model, not a curated record. Lineage: Eukaryota; Metazoa; Arthropoda; Insecta; Hemiptera; Aphididae. The transcript has 5 exons.